Molecule: ribosomal RNA, 492 nt
Filed under: uncultured bacterium
Lineage: Bacteria
Description: partial 16S ribosomal RNA
Rfam family: Bacterial small subunit ribosomal RNA
Source: RNAcentral
AGUGAACGCUGGCGGUAGGCCUAACACAUGCAAGUCGAACGGCAGCACAGUAAGAGCUUGCGCUUACGGGUGGCGAGUGGCGGACGGGGGAGGAAUACAUCGGAAUCUACUUUUUCGUGGGGGAUAACGGAGGGAAACUUACGCUAAUACCGCAUACGACCUACGGGUGAAAGCAGGGGAUCGUCGGACCUUGCGCGAUUGAAUGAGCCGAUGUCGGAUUAGCUAGUUGGCGGGGUAAAGGCCCACCAAGGCGACGAUCCGUAGCUGGUCUGAGAGGAUGAUCCGCCACACUGUAACUGAGACACGGUCCAGACUCCUACGGGAGGCAGCAGUGGGGAAUAUUGGACAAUGGGCGCAAGCCUGAUCCAGCCAUACCGCGUGGGUGACGAAGGCCUUCGGGUUGUAAAGCCCUUUUGUUGGGAAAGAAAAGCAGCAGGUUAAUCCCCCGCUGUUCUGACGGUACCCAAAGAAUAAGCACCGGCUAACUUCGUG